This is a long non-coding RNA of Salvia miltiorrhiza (redroot sage), 576 nucleotides long. RefSeq lists it as uncharacterized. The transcript is spliced from 3 exons. NCBI's taxonomy places the organism in Eukaryota, Viridiplantae, Streptophyta, Magnoliopsida, Lamiales, Lamiaceae. The record is from RefSeq and is a predicted model, not a curated record.
UAUAAGAUUACCAAGAUCAUUUCAUAUCUUGCAAAUUCCUCUCUCUCCUUCUCCCCUAACUUUCGACCACCACCUCUCUCCCCUUCAUCUCUCUACUUUCCACCAUUUUCCUCCAUUGAUGCACCUUCGGAGCUUCACAAAUUCAUACCAAAACUCAAAUCACCCUCUAAAUCCACCUUAAACACCUUCCAUCUCCUUAGAUUCAAGAAGAUCCAUGGAGAUUCAAUCUUGAAGUUAGUGAGAGAAAAUUUGAUAUUUGGUGUAAACUUGGACACGAGCAGAGCAGGGAAGUAAGUAACUCCGCUUUGACGGGAGUUUUUGAGUAAGGUCUUCAGGCUAAGCGAGGAGCGAGAUUGGUCUGGUGCUGGCGGGGAAUUGUUAGAGGAUGUAUUUACUUUAUCGUAUUUCCAUUUUGACGAUAAAGUCUUGAUAAUUGAUAUACUUGGAUUUUCUUUUGAAGUUAAGCAAUGUACUCACGGUUAUAUGUCUUCAUACAUAUAAUCGAUUCGCCUUUUGCUGCGAUACUCUGCAUAUUAUGAUUCCUUACGAAAAAUGAGCGAUACCCGUUUUGUUUUU